GAGAUGGGUUUCUGGACUCGCGAAGCAGCUGCAACAAGGCAUCACUCACUGUAUAAGUAUUUCCAUUUCUGAGAGCAAAAGGAAGAACUUAAGCGGGCGGCACUUGGAGUGUAAAUUGCUUUGUAGUAUUUAAAGGCAGAAUGGAUCCUGGGCAGCCGAGCUGCAACAAACCGGCAGGACUUCCUGUGAAAUCAUGACCACCAUGUGCUCUUUCAGCCUCUAUCAGUUCCUACCUCUAAGCACCUGAGAGCCAAAGCAAACCACAGGAAACCACAGGCCUUUGGAGUCAGACUGGAACUACAGCAUUGACUCUUCCGGAACUCCAGCUUACUGACUACAGAUCUUGGAACUUUUCAGCUUCCACAACCAUAAUGAAAGCCAAGCAUAUUCCAUCAUUUCCUAAAACCAAGAUAGAGCACAUAUGGGAACUUGUGAAAUAAGGAUGCCCUGCGGUUGUUUUCAGGACUGAAGACAACAGCUCCACGAUGUAUCUUUGCAUAAGAAUACACUUGUAUAAUAAGUUUUUUUUUUUAGAGAAAUUGCAUGUAUCUGCCUUAUAAACUUUUUCAUUCAUUCAUUUUCUUUCUUCCUAAUCUGUUCCAUAAAGCAAAUUUCUAACUUAUUGUUAAUCAAAAUAAUUAUUGAAAUAAUUAGUACUUUCAUAUGAUAAAGAUUAUUUUAAUCUGCAGCUACAAAAUAUGUAACUCAUUAAUAUUUAAACAAUCACAAUUUUCUAUUAACAUUAUAGCAUUUUAUCUACUACUAGAUCAGGAAUUAGCUAUUUUUUGUAAAAUUUCUUUGUAAGGCAAAGCAAUAGUAUUGUAUAUACUUUCCUAAAGAUUGUCAAGUUCAGUUUUGCUUAAAUUUAACAGUACAUGUGACACUUUCUGUUUGAAGAAUAAGUUGGUUUUAAGUUUAUACCAAACAAAAGCAUCUCUUUUGUUUUGCAAAAUCUGAAACUUUGAUCUUUCUAGUUGUGACUUCUUGUAAAUAUGUUUUAUAUAAAUAUUCUAUGAAUUGGUUAUUAACAAGGUAAAGAAAGAUUGAUAUGUAAGCUGAUUCUUAAACAUUAAUUUUCUGGAGAUAAACUUUUUUAAAAUUAUGCUUUAAAAAUAUUUUAACACAUGUUAUCAAAAAGGAACUGAAAUAUCUUAGGCAUAAAAGACAUCUCUAGAGGUCAUUAUUCAGUUUCCAGAAAGUACUGAAACUAUCUCUGACAGAUUGAUACGUUUUCUGCAUUUAUAGCUCUCUGGAGAGAGGUUCUGUAUAUUUAACAAUUCUCACUGUGAGGGAUAUUUUAAGUAUUUCAAAUUUAAAGUGCUCAUGUUUCAGAUUCAGAUUAUUAUUAUCAUCAUCAUUAUUUUGGUUCUGGCUUCAGUAAAAAUGUGAAAAACACUUUUCCAUCUUCUGAUAAUAUUUCAUAUUUAUAAAAUUAUUAUUAAGUUAUAACUCAGCUUUUUCAUUUAUGCUUUAAAUCCUUUUAUUAUCUCAUCACAACCAUCUUUGACUGUUUAUCAGAAAUGGUUCUCUUUUGUACAUUGACCAUUAUUUUAUAGAUCACAUUUAAGUUAAUAUAAAUCAUGCCUAUAAA
This 1591-nucleotide long non-coding RNA is filed under the name Homo sapiens (human). RNAcentral describes it as "HSALNT0315955". The record is from RNAcentral. Lineage: Eukaryota; Metazoa; Chordata; Mammalia; Primates; Hominidae.